RNAcentral lists this ribosomal RNA (1285 nucleotides) under Bacillus amyloliquefaciens. Its description in RNAcentral is "bacterial SSU rRNA". It matches the Rfam family "Bacterial small subunit ribosomal RNA", at positions 90 to 1361 of the family's 1533-position model. Lineage: Bacteria; Bacillati; Bacillota; Bacilli; Caryophanales; Bacillaceae. The record is from RNAcentral.
UGUUAGCGGCGGACGGGUGAGUAACACGUGGGUAACCUGCCUGUAAGACUGGGAUAACUCCGGGAAACCGGGGCUAAUACCGGAUGGUUGUCUGAACCGCAUGGUUCAGACAUAAAAGGUGGCUUCGGCUACCACUUACAGAUGGACCCGCGGCGCAUUAGCUAGUUGGUGAGGUAACGGCUCACCAAGGCGACGAUGCGUAGCCGACCUGAGAGGGUGAUCGGCCACACUGGGACUGAGACACGGCCCAGACUCCUACGGGAGGCAGCAGUAGGGAAUCUUCCGCAAUGGACGAAAGUCUGACGGAGCAACGCCGCGUGAGUGAUGAAGGUUUUCGGAUCGUAAAGCUCUGUUGUUAGGGAAGAACAAGUGCCGUUCAAAUAGGGCGGCACCUUGACGGUACCUAACCAGAAAGCCACGGCUAACUACGUGCCAGCAGCCGCGGUAAUACGUAGGUGGCAAGCGUUGUCCGGAAUUAUUGGGCGUAAAGGGCUCGCAGGCGGUUUCUUAAGUCUGAUGUGAAAGCCCCCGGCUCAACCGGGGAGGGUCAUUGGAAACUGGGGAACUUGAGUGCAGAAGAGGAGAGUGGAAUUCCACGUGUAGCGGUGAAAUGCGUAGAGAUGUGGAGGAACACCAGUGGCGAAGGCGACUCUCUGGUCUGUAACUGACGCUGAGGAGCGAAAGCGUGGGGAGCGAACAGGAUUAGAUACCCUGGUAGUCCACGCCGUAAACGAUGAGUGCUAAGUGUUAGGGGGUUUCCGCCCCUUAGUGCUGCAGCUAACGCAUUAGGCACUCCGCCUGGGGAGUACGGUCGCAAGACUGAAACUCAAAGGAAUUGACGGGGGCCCGCACAAGCGGUGGAGCAUGUGGUUUAAUUCGAAGCAACGCGAAGAACCUUACCAGGUCUUGACAUCCUCUGACAAUCCUAGAGAUAGGACGUCCCCUUCGGGGGCAGAGUGACAGGUGGUGCAUGGUUGUCGUCAGCUCGUGUCGUGAGAUGUUGGGUUAAGUCCCGCAACGAGCGCAACCCUUGAUCUUAGUUGCCAGCAUUCAGUUGGGCACUCUAAGGUGACUGCCGGUGACAAACCGGAGGAAGGUGGGGAUGACGUCAAAUCAUCAUGCCCCUUAUGACCUGGGCUACACACGUGCUACAAUGGACAGAACAAAGGGCAGCGAAACCGCGAGGUUAAGCCAAUCCCACAAAUCUGUUCUCAGUUCGGAUCGCAGUCUGCAACUCGACUGCGUGAAGCUGGAAUCGCUAGUAAUCGCGGAUCAGCAUGCCGCG